GCCGAUGUAGCUCAGCUGGUAGAGCAACGCACUCGUAACGCGUAGGUCGCAGGUUCGAUCCCCGUCAUCGGCUCCU
RNAcentral lists this transfer RNA (76 nucleotides) under Pararcticibacter amylolyticus. RNAcentral describes it as "Pedobacter sp. FJ4-8 tRNA-Thr". It matches the Rfam family "tRNA". From Rfam's summary of the family: Transfer RNA (tRNA) molecules are approximately 80 nucleotides in length. Their secondary structure includes four short double-helical elements and three loops (D, anti-codon, and T loops). Lineage: Bacteria; Pseudomonadati; Bacteroidota; Sphingobacteriia; Sphingobacteriales; Sphingobacteriaceae. The record is from RNAcentral.